This 73-nucleotide transfer RNA is filed under the name Ipomoea nil (Japanese morning glory). It matches the Rfam family "tRNA". Rfam says of the family: Transfer RNA (tRNA) molecules are approximately 80 nucleotides in length. Their secondary structure includes four short double-helical elements and three loops (D, anti-codon, and T loops). The record is from Rfam by way of RNAcentral. Lineage: Eukaryota; Viridiplantae; Streptophyta; Magnoliopsida; Solanales; Convolvulaceae.
GACCCCAUUGCCCAAUGAAUAAGGUGCUGGUCUAUGGAACCAGAGAUUCUGGGUUCGAUCCCCAGUGGAGUCG